GAUGAACGCUGGUGGCGUGCCUAAUACAUGCAAGUCGAGCGAACGGACGAGAAGCUUGCUUCUCUGAUGUUAGCGGCGGACGGGUGAGUAACACGUGGAUAACCUACCUAUAAGACUGGGAUAACUUCGGGAAACCGGAGCUAAUACCGGAUAAUAUUUUGAACCGCAUGGUUCAAAAGUGAAAGACGGUCUUGCUGUCACUUAUAGAUGGAUCCGCGCUGCAUUAGCUAGUUGGUAAGGUAACGGCUUACCAAGGCAACGAUGCAUAGCCGACCUGAGAGGGUGAUCGGCCACACUGGAGCGGAGACACGGUCCAGACUCCUACGGGAGGCGGGAGUAGGGAAUCGUCCGCAAUGGGCGAAAGCCUGACGGAGCAACGCCGCGUGAGUGAUGAAGGUCUUCGGAUCGUAAAACUCUGUUAUUAGGGAAGAACAUAUGUGUAAGUAACUGUGCACAUCUUGACGGUACCUAAUCAGAAAGCCACGGCUAACUACGUG
Molecule: ribosomal RNA, 497 nt
Filed under: uncultured bacterium
Lineage: Bacteria
Description: partial 16S ribosomal RNA
Rfam family: Bacterial small subunit ribosomal RNA
Source: RNAcentral